CCCUUAGAUGUCCUGGGCCGCACGCGCGCUACACUGACAUGUUCAACAAGUUUCUCCUGGUUCGACAGGACUGGGAAAUCUUUGAACGCAUGUCGUGAUAGGGAUAGAUCAUUGCAAUUAUUGAUCUUGAACGAGGAAUUCCUAGUAAACGCGAGUCAUCAGCUCGCAUUGAUUACGUCCCUGCCCUUUGUACACACCGCCCGUCGCUCCUACCGAUUGAGUGGUCCGGUGAGGCUUUGGGAUCUGAGCGGAAAGAGCGUUUCGCUGUUUCUGCCCGGAAAACUCAGUCGAACCUUAUCAUUUAGAGGAAGGAGAAGUCGUAACA
RNAcentral lists this ribosomal RNA (325 nucleotides) under uncultured eukaryote. Its description in RNAcentral is "partial 18S ribosomal RNA". It matches the Rfam family "Eukaryotic small subunit ribosomal RNA", at positions 1470 to 1796 of the family's 1831-position model. The record is from RNAcentral.